AACGUAGGUACCGAGCGUUAUCCGGAUUUACUGGGCGUAAAGCGCGUUCAGGCGGUUUGGCAAGUCGGGCAUGAAAUCUCUCGGCUCAACCGGGAGAGGUUGUCCGAUACUUCCAGACUUGAGGGCAGUAGAGGGUGGUGGAAUUCCGGGUGUAGUGGUGAAAUGCGUAGAUAUCCGGAGGAACACCAGUGGCGAAAGCGGCCACCUGGACUGCACCUGACGCUAAAGCGCGAAAGCUAGGGGAGCGAACGGG
Molecule: ribosomal RNA, 253 nt
Filed under: uncultured bacterium
Lineage: Bacteria
Description: partial 16S ribosomal RNA
Rfam family: Bacterial small subunit ribosomal RNA
Source: RNAcentral